This 675-nucleotide ribosomal RNA is filed under the name Bathypalaemonetes brevirostris. RNAcentral's name for it is "bacterial SSU rRNA". It matches the Rfam family "Eukaryotic small subunit ribosomal RNA", at positions 1144 to 1804 of the family's 1831-position model. Lineage: Eukaryota; Metazoa; Arthropoda; Malacostraca; Decapoda; Bathypalaemonellidae. The record is from RNAcentral.
UUAAAGGAAUUGACGGAAGGGCACCACCAGGAGUGGAGCCUGCGGCUUAAUUUGACUCAACACGGGAAACCUCACCAGGCCCAGACACUAUAAGGAUUGACAGAUUAAAAGCUCUUUCUAGAUUUUGUGGGUGGUGGUGCAUGGCCGUUCUUAGUUGGUGGAGUGAUUUGUCUGGUUAAUUCCGGUAACGAACGAGACUCUGGCCUACUAAAACUGUAGUCGACGGGUGUUAGUUAGUGGAAAAACCCCGUUCGUCUUCUUAGAGGGAUAAGCAGCGAAUAUAGCUGCAGUAGAAUGAGCAAUAACAGGUCUGUAAUGCCCUUAGAUGUCCUGGGCCGCACGCGGGCUACACUGAAUGGUUCAACAGGUGCCCCUGCUCCGAGAGGAGUGGGAAAUCCUUUGAAACUCAUUCGUGAUAGGGAUUGGGUGCUGGGCAGAGCACCCAUGAACGAGGAAUUCCCAGUAAGCGCAAGUCAUUAGCUUGCGCUGAUUAAGUCCCUGCCCUUUGUACACACCGCCCGUCGCUACUACCGAUUGAAUGUUUUAGUGAGGACUUCGGACUGGCUGUCUUGGACUGGGUUCCGCUCGCCUUCGGGUGUCGGGCCUGCCAACAUCUGACGGAAAGUUGUCCAAACUUGAUCAUUUAAAGGAAGUAAAAGUCGUAACAAGGUUUCC